GUAUGUUGUCUAUAUGUUUAGACUUAAAACUUUUCUGUCUUUAUUGAUGAUAGAAACCUGUGAUGAUUUAUUAUUAGCCUUGGAUUUUGUGGCGUUCCCCCUCCCCUCUUUGAAGCACUCUUUUUCUAGAAGAUGCCCAUUUUUCCCAAAACGUUGAUUCAUAAUUUUGUGUAUCUGAAAAUCACCAAUUGCUGGUGUGUUAUAUCCAUUAAUGCUUUAGAAGCUCAUUUAAUCAAGUGGCUACAGCUGUGGAUGGUUUUACUGGCUUUCUUUUUGAACCACAGGUUAUAUCUCAAGCAUAUUAUAUUUUCGUUGACACCUAAUAAUAAUCUUUUAUUUGUCUUUGGUGUUUAUUUAUUAUUUGAAGCAACAGAUAAUAUAGAGAUAAGAGUCAUAGGACUUUUGAGCUAUUUCUCUUGAUUACUUCAAUACUGUGGCAAGUUUUACUGGAAAUAUUUUUAUGGUCUUAGAAGGUGUAACUUGCUAUAUCUCUAUUGCCUCAUCUGUAUUGUUGAUUUACUAAUUUUGCUAAACAUCUCUCCUUUCAUACGUUCUAGUGAUGGUGAAACAUUUAUAUCA
RNAcentral lists this unclassified non-coding RNA (579 nucleotides) under Hevea brasiliensis (rubber tree). The record is from RNAcentral. Lineage: Eukaryota; Viridiplantae; Streptophyta; Magnoliopsida; Malpighiales; Euphorbiaceae.